This 429-nucleotide ribosomal RNA is filed under the name Acidobacteriota bacterium. Its description in RNAcentral is "Acidobacteria bacterium partial 16S ribosomal RNA". It matches the Rfam family "Bacterial small subunit ribosomal RNA", at positions 355 to 776 of the family's 1533-position model. The record is from RNAcentral. Lineage: Bacteria; Pseudomonadati; Acidobacteriota.
UGGGGAAUUUUGGACAAUGGGGGAAACCCUGAUCUAGCCAUCCCGCGUGUGCGAUGAAGGCCUUCGGGUUGUAAAGCACUUUUGGCAGGAAAGAAACGUCAUGGGUUAAUACCCCGUGAAACUGACGGUACCUGCAGAAUAAGCACCGGCUAACUACGUGCCAGCAGCCGCGGUAAUACGUAGGGUGCAAGCGUUAAUCGGAAUUACUGGGCGUAAAGCGUGCGCAGGCGGUUCGGAAAGAAAGAUGUGAAAUCCCAGAGCUCAACUUUGGAACUGCAUUUUUAACUACCGGGCUAGGGUGGGUCAGAGGGAGGUGGAAUUCCGCGUGUAGGAGUGAAAUGCGUAGAGAUGCGGAGGAACACCGAUGGAGAAGGCAGCCUCCUGGGAUAACACUGACGCUCAUGCACGAAAGCGUGGGGAGCAAACAGG